CUCCUACGGGAGGCAGCAGUGGGGAAUCUUGCGCAAUGGGCGAAAGCCUGACGCAGCAACGCCGCGUGGGGGAUGAAGCUUCUCGGAGUGUAAACCCCUUUCGACCCGGACGAAUGCCCGCAAGGGUUUGACGGUACGGGUAUAAGAAGCCCCGGCUAACUACGUGCCAGCAGCCGCGGUAAUAC
Molecule: ribosomal RNA, 185 nt
Filed under: uncultured bacterium
Lineage: Bacteria
Description: partial 16S ribosomal RNA
Rfam family: Bacterial small subunit ribosomal RNA
Source: RNAcentral